This 229-nucleotide unclassified non-coding RNA is filed under the name plant metagenome. RNAcentral's name for it is "partial contains small subunit ribosomal RNA, internal transcribed spacer 1, and 5.8S ribosomal RNA". The record is from RNAcentral.
UCUCCGUAGGUGAACCUGCGGAGGGAUCAUUACAGAGUUCAUGCCCUAACGGGUAGAUCUCCCACCCUAUGUUAUCAUUACUUUGUUGCUUUGGCGGGCCGUCAGGCCUUGGCUUGGCUUCCGGCUCUCGCUGGUAAGCGCCCGCCAGAGAACCCCAAACCCUGAAUAUCAGUGUCGUCUGAGUACUAUAUAAUAGUUAAAACUUUCAACAACGGAUCUCUUGGUUCUG